CAGUAGCCACGGGAAUACGUAGGUGGCAAGCGUUGUCCGGAAUUAUUGGGCGUAAAGCGCGCGCAGGCGGUUUCUUAAGUCUGAUGUGAAAGCCCCCGGCUUAACCGGGGAGGGUCAUUGGAAACUGGGAGACUUAGAGUGCAGAAGAGGAGAGUGGAAUUCCAUGCGUAGCGGUGAAAUGCGUAGAUAUAUGGAGGAACACCAGUGGCGAAGGCGACUCUCUGGUCUGUAACUGACGCUGAGGCGCGAAAGCGUGGGGAGCAAACAGGAUUAGAUACCCCAGUAGUCCCUGUCUCUUAUA
This 301-nucleotide ribosomal RNA is filed under the name uncultured bacterium. RNAcentral describes it as "partial 16S ribosomal RNA". It matches the Rfam family "Bacterial small subunit ribosomal RNA", at positions 509 to 808 of the family's 1533-position model. The record is from RNAcentral.